AGCAGCCGCGGUAAUUCCAGCUCCAAUAGCGUAUAUUAAAGUUGUUGCAGUUAAAAAGCUCGUAGUUGAAUUUCGGGGUUAGUAGGUUGGUCAUGCCUCUGGUAUGUACUGGUCUAGCUGAUUCCUCCUUCCUGAUGAACCUUAAUGCCAUUAAUUUGGUGUUUUGGGGAAUUUGGACUGUUACUUUGAAAAAAUUAGAGUGUUUAAAGCAAGCUAACGCUUGAAUACAUUAGCAUGGAAUAAUGAAAUAGGACGUUCGAUCCUAUUUUGUUGGUUUCUAGGAUUGACGUAAUGAUUAAUAGGGAUAGUUGGGGGCAUUAGUAUUCAAUUGUCAGAGGUGAAAUUCUUGGAUUUAUUGAAGACUAACUACUGCGAAAGCAUUUGCCAAGGAUGUUUUCAUUAAUCAAGAACGAAAGUUAGGGGAUCGAAGACGAUCAGAUACCGUCGUAGUCUUAACCAUAAACUAUAGCCGACUAGGGAUCGGAUGAUGUUAAUUUUUUAAUGACUCAUUCGGCGCCUU
This 520-nucleotide ribosomal RNA is filed under the name uncultured Glomus. RNAcentral's name for it is "SSU rRNA". It matches the Rfam family "Eukaryotic small subunit ribosomal RNA", at positions 569 to 1089 of the family's 1831-position model. Lineage: Eukaryota; Fungi; Glomeromycota; Glomeromycetes; Glomerales; Glomeraceae. The record is from RNAcentral.